RNAcentral lists this ribosomal RNA (253 nucleotides) under uncultured bacterium. RNAcentral's name for it is "partial 16S ribosomal RNA". It matches the Rfam family "Bacterial small subunit ribosomal RNA", at positions 524 to 776 of the family's 1533-position model. The record is from RNAcentral.
UACAGAGGGUGCGGGCGUUGUUCGGAAUUAUUGGGCGUAAAGGGCGCGUAGGCGGUGCGGUAAGUCACCUGUGAAAUCUCCUGGCUCAACCGGGAGCUUGCAGGCGAAACUGCCGUGCUGGAGUAUGGGAGAGGUACGUGGAAUUCCUGGUGUAGCGGUGAAAUGCGUAGAUAUCAGGAGGAACACCUGUGGCGAAAGCGGCGCACUGGACCAUAACUGACGCUGAGGCGCGAAAGCCAGGGGAGCAAAUGGG